This 1708-nucleotide long non-coding RNA is filed under the name Mytilus galloprovincialis (Mediterranean mussel). The record is from RNAcentral. Lineage: Eukaryota; Metazoa; Mollusca; Bivalvia; Mytilida; Mytilidae.
CAAGUAUAUUAUUUCAAAACUAUUAUUUAAAACGUCAGUUAACUAUUAAGUGAGAACUAUGCAAUAUUAGAAGAAAACAACCAGACUGUUGUAAUACUAGGAAUUGCAAUGGUUUCAGGUUUAAUUUUGUUUAUUUGUUUGUUCAUUGGAACACAGGUCAGUACAAGAUUUUUUUAUACCAAAUUAGUACAUAAUUUAAACGGAAGUUGACUGUUUAUCCGGAAAUUAUUACUUCCCUUUAACAAAAGUUCGGGAAAAACAGUCAACUUCCGGGCACGUAAAUUUGAAAUUAGUCAAAAUAGUUAAAAUCUUUUUAUUAUAUGCUGGAGAUGGACUAAAAAUGUUACGAACAAUACCAAUUUGAUAAAUAUCAACGAUGUGUGCGAUCUGACGGCAAAGAAGGCACGUUUUCCCAGAGAAAUCGUUGGGGAAUCCAGGUAGGUCAAUCUAUUUAUUUAUAGAUAGCAGAAAAAUGGCGUCGAGUUAGUUGCCUUUUUGUUUCUUAGUAUGGAUAGUAAAAUUGGGUAUUUUCUCUGGGUCGUUUAAGUCACUCGAAACUAGGUGAGAGAUACACAGAAGUGAUAGAUAUGUAUUAUAAAUAUAGAAAAUUGAAUAUUUUAAUAAAAAAGAAAUAAAAAAAUCUGUAUCCUAGACCCAAGCGCCUGUGGUCCUAAUGCGAGAAUUUAUCGGGUUAAUAAAAUCCAUAUCGGGUGAGGCGAAGCCAAACCCGAUAUGAAUUUUAUUACCCGAUAAAUUCCGUAUUAGGACAAUUGAACACUGUGUAACGAAUUUAUCCUGAUUUUGUUAUAUUACAUAUUAUUAUAUUCAAAUUCAAUAUUUGUACAAUAAUCAACCAAAUGUAUUUAAGAUAUUUAAUCUGAACCUGUUAAAAAUUUAAAAUAUUAGAACUAUAAAGCAAAUCUUUUUUUUUUAAUUUUUUAUUAGGUCAAUGGUAUAAGGGAGAUACUUCCAAUUGACGUAAUAAAUAAGGAAGAUAAUUCGUAUUGACGUAAUAAAAAAAUGUACUGAAAUUUAUUAGGACAAUAUAAGCCAAUCAAAUUGCGAGAAAUUACUCUAAAUCAGGAUAAUAUUAUAUAUCUCCCUAUCAAUACGACAUCUCAGAGCUUGUAUUUCGUAUCAUGAUUUGAUUGAUAGAAAAUUGCUCAUCACAAGGAAGUAAUCAAACUAAAAGCUCGAAGUUAGGAAGGUGAAAUCCCCUAUAAUAAAUGUUACAAACGGCGUCACGACUCGAGUUGGUUGACUGUUAUGAAAUUUCUGAUAAGAACGAUAUGUUCAUAUUAUAAUAAAUACAAUACCGUCAAUAUUUCACCGAAUCUGACAUACCGAAUUGAAUACAUCAACUGCAUCGGACUUAUUUGAGCAACAUGACGGGUGCAACACAUUGAGAAGUAUCUGCUUUUCCUUCUAGAUCACCUUAAAUCACCCAAUAGUAUUACUAACAAUAAUAUUAUUUCAAUAUGAUUUAGUCUUUUGUUUGUUCGUUCCCCUCUUUAAUCAUAUAGUAUAUAAUUAUAUGUUAUCAUCACCAGUGUGAGUAAUUCUGUUUGUGAAGAUGAUUUUUAAUUAUUAUUACAGCAAAGUCAUGUUACUUUGAUAUGUCCAGCAUUUCCAGGUCCUAUUGAUCCAGAUGUUUGUUCGCCAGAAACCCAUCAACCCAAUUGCCAGACAGAUGCAGACUGUACAGGCG